GAUGAACGCUGGCGGUAUGCUUAACACAUGCAAGUCGAACGGGACUCUUCGGAGUUCAGUGGCGGACGGGUGAGUAACGCGUGAGAAUCUGCCCUGAGGUUCGGGACAACCAUUGGAAACGAUGGCUAAUACCGGAUAUGCCGCAAGGUGAAAGAUUAAUUGCCUGAGGAUGAGCUCGCGUCUGAUUAGCUAGUUGGUAGGGUAAGAGCCUACCAAGGCGACGAUCAGUAGCUGGUCUGAGAGGACGAGCAGCCACACUGGGACUGAGACACGGCCC
RNAcentral lists this ribosomal RNA (277 nucleotides) under uncultured bacterium. RNAcentral's name for it is "partial 16S ribosomal RNA". It matches the Rfam family "Bacterial small subunit ribosomal RNA", at positions 28 to 332 of the family's 1533-position model. The record is from RNAcentral.